This 336-nucleotide unclassified non-coding RNA is filed under the name soil metagenome. Its description in RNAcentral is "partial contains 5.8S ribosomal RNA, internal transcribed spacer 2, and large subunit ribosomal RNA". The stretch from base 1 to 120 matches the Rfam family "5.8S ribosomal RNA", at positions 35 to 154 of the family's 154-position model. The record is from RNAcentral.
GAUGAAGAACGCAGCGAAAUGCGAUAAGUAGUGUGAAUUGCAGAAUUCAGUGAAUCAUCGAAUCUUUGAACGCACAUUGCGCCCCUUGGUAUUCCAUGGGGCAUGCCUGUUCGAGCGUCAUUUGUACCUUCAAGCUCUGCUUGGUGUUGGGUGUUUGUCUCGCCUCUGCGUGUAGACUCGCCUCAAAACAAUUGGCAGCCGGCGUAUUGAUUUCGGAGCGCAGUACAUCUCGCGCUUUGCACUCAUAACGACGACGUCCAAAAGUACAUUUUUACACUCUUGACCUCGGAUCAGGUAGGGAUACCCGCUGAACUUAAGCAUAUAAUAAGCGGAGGA